Molecule: transfer RNA, 72 nt
Filed under: Camelus bactrianus (Bactrian camel)
Lineage: Eukaryota; Metazoa; Chordata; Mammalia; Artiodactyla; Camelidae
Also listed under: 2 other names
Rfam family: tRNA
About the family: Transfer RNA (tRNA) molecules are approximately 80 nucleotides in length.
Source: Rfam by way of RNAcentral
GAGGGUAUAGCUCAGUGGUAGAGAGUGUGCCUGACAUGCACAAGGUCCUGGGUUCAAUCCCCAGUACCUCCA